UAACUCACUGGCCUCUCUGCCCUUCACUCUGGAAAAAACUUGGAAACGGGGUCUAAUACCGGAUAUCACUAAAACUUUCAUGGCUGGGGGUUGAAAGCUCCGGCGGUGAAGGAUAGCCCGCGGCCUAUCACUUGUUGGUGAGGUAAUGGCUCACCUAGGCGACGACGGGUAGCCGGCCUGAGAGGGCGACCGGCCACACUGGGACUGAGACACGGCCCAGACUCCUACGGGAGGCAGCAGUGGGGAAUAUUGCACAAUGGGCGAAAGCCUGAUGCAUCCACGCCGCGUGAGGGAUGAUUGCCUUCGGGUUGUAUACCUCUUUCAUCAGGGAAGAAGCGAAAGUGACGGUACCUGCAGAACAAGCGCCGGCUAACUACGUGCCAGCAGCCGCGGUAAUACGUAGGGCGCAAGCGUUGUCCGGAAUUAUUGGGCGUAAAGAGCUCGUAGGCGGUCUGUCUCGUCGGAUGUGAAAGCCCGGGGCUUAACCCCGGGUCUGCAUUCGAUACGGGCAGACUAGAGUGUGGUAGGGGAGAUCGGAAUUCCUGGUGUAGCGGUGAAAUGCGCAGA
Molecule: ribosomal RNA, 567 nt
Filed under: Actinomycetales bacterium HRRK134
Lineage: Bacteria; Bacillati; Actinomycetota; Actinomycetes; Actinomycetales
Description: bacterial SSU rRNA
Rfam family: Bacterial small subunit ribosomal RNA
Source: RNAcentral